RNAcentral lists this long non-coding RNA (536 nucleotides) under Capsella grandiflora. RNAcentral's name for it is "long non-coding RNA (CGRA_LNC000135)". The record is from RNAcentral. Lineage: Eukaryota; Viridiplantae; Streptophyta; Magnoliopsida; Brassicales; Brassicaceae.
CAAGGUUUGAAAUAAGCAACCUCCGUAGAUCAAUAAUAUAAAUAAAAAAAGAGGAUCAAAAAACUUGAGGGAACUAAAAAAUGCCCAUGAACAAGUUUGAUCAACUCUUAUAAAAGAAUGAAAAAUAAAAGAAUAUUACUAGACAGAAAAAUUCAUUUUUUUUGGGAAAACAAAGAUGGAUCUCGUUUUCUUGAAAACAAUUUUUUUUUUUUUUUUGUUACAAAAGUUUGUCGUUUAGAUGAGUUUGGACAAAAUAUAAACUCAUAAAGCAACACUUCAUAAGAAAAUCGUGAUUUGUGUUUUGUUUUUCAAGAAAGACUAAGACAAGACCAAGGAAGAGUUUUGUGUUUUGUUUGUUUGGUUUGGUUUGGUUUGAAGAUGAAACGAAGCAAAGAAAACAAGAAGAAGAGAGAUAUGAACCCUAGUUUUUUUUCACUCAAAUCUUUUUUUUUUUUGCUUCUCUCUCACUCACAACACUCACUCUCUCUCACACACACACUACUCUCUCUCUCUCUCUCUCUUUUGGAAGAUGCUCU